GGAAAUCUUCCCCAAAGACGAAGUCAGCCCCAUACAGCUCAAAGCUGCCUUUGCGGGAUUGCACCGUGUCUUGAGAAGUCUGCAGUACAUGGAUAACUGCAGCCUUCAUGCCUGGAACCAUGACAUCUGUCCAAGCAUCAGGUGCCCCUACCUCCUGCAGAGAUCCAGGAGGGGUUGCUCCAGCUCAUUUUACAUAUGAGAAACUGAGGCCUAUGGUCAUAUGGUUCUGACGUUGAACUAUUUACUCAGGUCUUCCUGAUUUCAGGCUCAGUGUUCUAGCCGCCGUGCCACAUAGCUGCCCUGACUGUAAGGUUCUGAGAUGAAAACCAGUGACCCAGUGACUAGUCUAAGAAGGGUAGAGCUGAUAAAGUGUCACAUCUGAUAACAGUUCAGCUGGUCCAUCAUCUUCCCUAUUGUACAGAGGAGGAGACAGACCAAGAGAAGUGAUUUGCCUAAGUUCACACAGUAUGGCUUCACGAUCCAGAUAUUUCUGUCUCCUUCCAUGUCAAUUUGAGGCACCACUGCUCGCAGCUGCUGAAGGAUGUCUUCACAACGCUGGAUC
Sarcophilus harrisii (Tasmanian devil) is the source of this 562-nucleotide long non-coding RNA. RefSeq lists it as uncharacterized. The record is from RefSeq and is a predicted model, not a curated record. NCBI's taxonomy places the organism in Eukaryota, Metazoa, Chordata, Mammalia, Dasyuromorphia, Dasyuridae. The transcript has 4 exons.